GCCGCCCGUACAUUCUGAAAGGGGUACCUGUAACGCGGAAUACGCUGUUGAUAUCUGUAUAGGUUUACAUGUUAUUGCAAUUGUUUUCAUGCACAGUUAUGAUGCCCUACACCUGCCUACUCCCACGGCGGACACCCACGGCCAGCCCAUGGCCACCUGACCCGGAACCACACUGAUGAGGAUCAUAUUACCAGCACGACUCUCACAACAUAGAGCCGACCAGGGAACUCACAGGGACCCGACGAGCAGGGACCGAGACACUACUCUCAGGUAUUUGCUGACCACGCAGACCCGGGGAGGGCUGGACCCACCCGGAAUCCCCUUACCUCCUCCUACGACCUUGUAGGACACAGCGACCCUCAAAAGGUGAGUGGAACCCGCGGACCGCAGGAGGCCGCGGACUUCCCACUCCCCGUCGCUGACUCCUCUUUGUCGCCCACAGGGGACAUGAUCACACACACACACACUUCCCAUCCCCAUCAUUUUCCUUACCCACCAACCCUACUCAGACGGACCCACCUGACGUACCACCCCCAAAACACCUGGACCAGACUGGGACGCAUAGACCUACAGACACACUCACCACUCCACCGCGACGCAAAUGGCUCUCACACCGGACGACCUCACCAUCCUUUCUAUUAAUGCCAGAGGCCUCAACAAACCAGAGAGAUGCUCUGGGGCGCUGAGAGACUUCCACGCCAACAGAGCAUCCAUCGUACUGAUACAAGAGACGCACUUUAGGGAAGGCUGCAGACCGAAACUGACUAACCACCACUUCCCGACGGGGUACUAUAGUGAUUACCACGCAGGGAAGUCCAGGGGCACAGCCAUCCUGAUCAACAAAC
Pelobates cultripes (western spadefoot toad) is the source of this 845-nucleotide non-coding RNA. The record is from the annotation of a GenBank genome assembly. Lineage: Eukaryota; Metazoa; Chordata; Amphibia; Anura; Pelobatidae.